CCCAGCUGUAGGCAACUGCCUGGGUUGCGUUGUACCUAGGCUAGUGUUACACUGCUGGGAGAAAAGCAGCUAGUAGCUGGCGAGCAUCCUAGGCCUGGUUAAUGCCAAAUUUGUGUUAACUGUACUAGUGUGCCAGCACAGC
Molecule: small nucleolar RNA, 142 nt
Organism: Ochotona princeps (American pika)
Lineage: Eukaryota; Metazoa; Chordata; Mammalia; Lagomorpha; Ochotonidae
Gene: SNORA74
Rfam family: Small nucleolar RNA SNORA74
About the family: U19 belongs to the H/ACA class of snoRNAs. snoRNAs bind a number of proteins (including dyskerin, Gar1p and Nop10p in the case of the H/ACA class) to form snoRNP complexes. This class are thought to guide the sites of modification of uridines to pseudouridines by forming direct base pairing interactions with substrate RNAs.
Source: Ensembl